Molecule: long non-coding RNA, 506 nt
Organism: Chelonia mydas (Green sea turtle)
Lineage: Eukaryota; Metazoa; Chordata; Testudines; Cheloniidae
Exons: 3
Source: RefSeq, a predicted model, not a curated record
CUCUAGCCCUGGAGCGGGAAGGGCUGAGCUGCCUGGGAGCAAGGUGGGACACUGGCCAUGGAGUGCUCCAGAGGCUGUCUACGGGACUAUACUGGUGGUGUAAAAUAACCUCCCUGCUGGUACUCGAGAUUUCCCCCUGCAUCUCUUGUUUUCUGUUUUGGUUUUCUGUCUUUAACAAAGAUGGGACAUGGACCCCGUUCUUCUACAAAGAAUGUUUAAGUACCUAUAAAAGUGACAUAAAAGUCCCCAUCUCGUUCACUGUUGGGAAUGGCGAGUAUCUGAGGAUCAACAUCACACGAUGCAACGACGCAGAUAACUGUAACUCGGCUGUACUUGGAGGUCCAUCUUCUUUGCCAUUUGAAGCGAAAGGCUGCGCUACUGCGUCUGCUCAGGACAUUAAACCUGGAACCCUCCUGGCGUCAGGACCCUACAUAUACCUCUGUUCACGGGCAACCGACGCUCCGGCGGAGAAAACACCCACCAGCCCUGCUCCCAGCGGAGCCAGC